GAGGCUUUUAAGCCCUGAACGACGUCUCACAGGCUGCAGUGCCUCCAAGGCUGCAGCCCGCCUCUACCAGCUAAACCAAUCAAAUAACAGGAAACUGGAAUCCCGCCCCAUGAGAACACAGCCAAUCAGAUUAAAUCAAGGAAUUUCGAGCGCGCAGUUUCACUUUAUUUUCUUUUUUUCAGUGAGCUAGCACAGUAUAACUGCUACAUUUUGGAUUUUUGGAAAGGCUGCUGGUCUGUGUUUCUACAGUCAACCACUUAUGGCACCCAAAAGAAAGAAGACAAAUGAUACCAAGUGACAGUGGACGAGUUGAGACGAAGAGUUGGGGCCCCGGAAAAUAUGUCUGCAAAUACCCUCGUCUCCUACCUUCGUGUUGAUAAGAACAAGAAACAGGAGUUGAAACAAAGGCUUCAAAAUGCGGGUGUCAGCCCUGGACCUUUAACAAGUGUGGUGUCAAUGUGCUCAAAAUUAACUGAGGCUGAAGCUUGUGAGCUGGCAGACAGCUUGGGGAAGAUGGCAGCAGCUUACAUUCCAGAUGACAUUCAACUCAUGGAGUUAGCCAACAAGGAUGUUGCACUGGGGAGACUUGCUUUUUUCAAAGACCUUCUAAACGAAGCCAAAACCCAGCUGCAUCAGCAUGCAAGAGCCUUUGACUUAGUUACUCAUGGCCUUGGCCUAAAAUUAUUCGAUGUUUUCUUUUCAGUCCUGGGAAAGGUGGCAGACUCAGAGAUCAGAAAGUAUAGUGCUGCAGAAUAAGACUUAGUCCAAACCAAGUCUGAAACAAGAUUGAAACAAAGCUGAAGUUCGUUUUGGUUUUAAGUGGCAGUUUAUUGCAAUAAUUUACAUCCAGUUAUCACCCAUGUGGUCUCCCUGUAAUUUACACUAACUGGUCUGUAAAAUAUUGUAAUUUCAGUGAGUUGCUUUUCCAGAUGUUGUGCUAAAUUCUACCUCACUGACAGAAUCAAACAGAAGUGCAGGUGCAUCACACAGCAGAAUGAGUGUAUCUGAUUCCAUUUUUUCUGUUUAUAAAUUAGGUCUAAUUUACAGUUAAAGUAGAUACAGAAUCACUAGCAUAAUAUGUUGUAUCCAUACAACUGCGCUAUGAAGGGGAGUUUGAUUUCAGCACUGCAUCUUUUUCUUAUUCCAUUGUUUAAUGGGUGAAAACAAUUGGUCUGAAAAUCAGUAACCAUCUAGAAAAGGGUUUUCACACUGCCUUUGAAAAAGACCAUGGUUCAGCACAUUCAGACCUUUAACACAUUUCUUUUUGGUUGGACCAAAUAAUGGUCCUAUUUUCUGAACCAUGGAUCAAGGCACCUUUCACACCUGCUAUUUUGUUCAGACCAAACAAGUUAAUAAUUUAGUUAUACUCCAUCCUGUUGUUCUAAUAAAUGUUAAUUUUCUUACAUGGUGCUUGACGUUGAAUUUUGUUACUAGAUUCUAUUCAGCUAAACAGUUAAAAUACUUUUGGACAUUUGGACAUAAAGAUUCAUUUGUGUUUUUCAGAAAGUGAUAUUUUUAUUUUCAGUGCACAUUUAAUUUCAGUUUACAUACUAUAAUUGCAUGUAUAAGAAUACAAUUUCGAAUCUUUCCAGUUCUGUAGAAAUUCACACUGUACAU
This is a long non-coding RNA of Astyanax mexicanus (Mexican tetra), 1617 nucleotides long. RefSeq lists it as uncharacterized. Lineage: Eukaryota; Metazoa; Chordata; Actinopteri; Characiformes; Acestrorhamphidae. The record is from RefSeq and is a predicted model, not a curated record. The transcript has 5 exons.